UUAGGAAUAUUGGACAAUGGGCGCAAGCCUGAUCCAGCCAUGCCGCGUGAGUGAUGAAGGCCUUCGGGUUGUAAAACUCUUUAGCCGAUGAAUAUAAUGACUGUAGUCGGAGAAUAAGCCCCGGCUAACUUCGUGCCAGCAGCCGCGGUAAUACGAAGGGGGCGAGCGUUAUUCGGAAUCACUGGGCGUAAAGCGUGCGUAGGCUGUCUAGAAAGUUGGAAGUGAAAGCCCAGGGCUCAACCCUGGAAUUGCUUCCAAAACUACUAGACUCGGAUUUGGGAGAGGAUAGCGGAAUUGUCAGUGUAGCAGUGAAAUGCGUAGAUAUUGACAGGAACACCAGUGGCGCAAGCGGCUAUCAGGACCAACAUCGACGCUGAGGCACGAAAGCGUGGGGAUCAAA
This 400-nucleotide ribosomal RNA is filed under the name uncultured bacterium. RNAcentral describes it as "bacterial SSU rRNA". It matches the Rfam family "Bacterial small subunit ribosomal RNA", at positions 355 to 772 of the family's 1533-position model. The record is from RNAcentral.